RNAcentral lists this ribosomal RNA (545 nucleotides) under Fusarium solani. RNAcentral's name for it is "eukaryotic LSU rRNA". The stretch from base 199 to 337 matches the Rfam family "5.8S ribosomal RNA". The record is from RNAcentral. Lineage: Eukaryota; Fungi; Ascomycota; Sordariomycetes; Hypocreales; Nectriaceae.
UGUGAAAAAAAAAAAAGUGUAAGUCUCCGUUGGUGAACCAGCGGAGGAAUCAUUACGAGGUUUCAACUCUCCAAACCCCCUGUGACAUACCUAUUGUUGCUCCGCGAUCCACCCCCUCCUGUUAAACCGGGCGGCCCGCCAGAGACCCAACCUCUAGUCCUAAGUGAUACCUCCGAGUAAACACAACGAAUAAUCCAAACCUUUCAACACCGAUCCUCUGAUUCUGGCAUCGAUGAAGACGCAGCAAAUGCGAUAAGUAAUGGAAUGCAGAAUCAGUGAUCAUCGAUCUUGAACGCACAUUGGCCGCCAGUAUCUGCGGCAUGCCUGUCGAGCGUCAUUUCAACCCUCAAACCCCGGGUUUGGUGUGGGGAUCGGCGAGCGUCUGCCUGGCAGACAGCCGGCCCCGAAAUCUAGUGGCGGUCUCGCUGUAGCCCUCAAUGCGUAGUAGCUAACACCUCGCAACUGGGACAGCGAGCGCGGCCAAGCACGUUAAACCCCAACUUCUGAAUGUGCGCUCUGAUCAGGUAGGAAUACCCGCUGACUAG